RNAcentral lists this ribosomal RNA (117 nucleotides) under Pteropus alecto (black flying fox). Lineage: Eukaryota; Metazoa; Chordata; Mammalia; Chiroptera; Pteropodidae. The record is from RNAcentral.
GUCUACGGCCAUGCCACCCUGAACAAGCCUAAUCCUGUCUGAUCUCAGAAGCUAAGCAGGGUCAAGCCUGUUAGUACUUGGAUGGGAGACCACCUAGGAAGUCUGUAGGUGUAAAAA